GGGUGCAAUCUGCAGCUCUACACCGAACUCUGGACUCCGCUUUUCGCCUUCCAGGUUCCGCCCGUCUCCGACCUCCAGCUCCCUAAUCAGACAACUUCACUUCGGGUCCGAUGCACGGAGACUGCCGCAUUUAAGCUAAACCGCAUUUAAGCGAACCGCAUUUAAGUGACUAAAUGGGUCCCUGUUCGGGCGCCAGACAAAGAGGGUCCCCCGUGAAGAAUCGGCCAAGUUACGACAAUCACACCAAUAUGGCUACAUGCCGUGCUCACUUUAUUAAACAAACAGGUCAUAUUUAUAACUUAAACGACCGCUCUCACGACUUUACACACAGGUGAUUGGAUAAGAGUCUCUGGCCACAUGGGCGUCCGUGUCGAUGAUUGAGUAUCUCAGAUCCUAGUGGUAAACGGAGAAGAGUUCAUCUUCCUUGAAAGCAGCAGGCACUGGUACCUACAACAAGGAAUCGACAGAGCCCAACGAAAGCAGAGCAUGGCAGCAAUGUAUACACCACAGCUGCCUCGUAUAGGAAGAGAGGCUGUGGCAAUCCAGCUAGAGUAGAUUUUGAACCAUGGUUUAAUUGUGCUACUGUUAUUCUGCUCUUAAGUCACCACUAUGUACAUUUGUUAGCAUGAAUGAUAUACCUAAUAUGUUAUUUUUAAUGUAAAUUUCAAUUAAAAUGUGAGCAUUUUUCUUC
Molecule: long non-coding RNA, 691 nt
Organism: Falco peregrinus (peregrine falcon)
Lineage: Eukaryota; Metazoa; Chordata; Aves; Falconiformes; Falconidae
Exons: 2
Source: RefSeq, a predicted model, not a curated record